RNAcentral lists this ribosomal RNA (421 nucleotides) under Lactiplantibacillus plantarum. RNAcentral's name for it is "bacterial SSU rRNA". It matches the Rfam family "Bacterial small subunit ribosomal RNA", at positions 30 to 423 of the family's 1533-position model. Lineage: Bacteria; Bacillati; Bacillota; Bacilli; Lactobacillales; Lactobacillaceae. The record is from RNAcentral.
CGAACGCUGGCGGCGUGCCUAAUACAUGCAAGUCGAACGAACUCUGGUAUUGAUUGGUGCUUGCAUCAUGAUUUACAUUUGAGUGAGUGGCGAACUGGUGAGUAACACGUGGGAAACCUGCCCAGAAGCGGGGGAUAACACCUGGAAACAGAUGCUAAUACCGCAUAACAACUUGGACCGCAUGGUCCGAGUUUGAAAGAUGGCUUCGGCUAUCACUUUUGGAUGGUCCCGCGGCGUAUUAGCUAGAUGGUGGGGUAACGGCUCACCAUGGCAAUGAUACGUAGCCGACCUGAGAGGGUAAUCGGCCACAUUGGGACUGAGACACGGCCCAAACUCCUACGGGAGGCAGCAGUAGGGAAUCUUCCACAAUGGACGAAAGUCUGAUGGAGCAACGCCGCGUGAGUGAAGAAGGGUUUCGGCU